RNAcentral lists this ribosomal RNA (440 nucleotides) under uncultured bacterium. Its description in RNAcentral is "partial 16S ribosomal RNA". It matches the Rfam family "Bacterial small subunit ribosomal RNA", at positions 338 to 795 of the family's 1533-position model. The record is from RNAcentral.
CCUACGGGUGGCAGCAGUGGGGAAUAUUGCACAAUGGGGGAAACCCUGAUGCAGCGACGCCGCGUGAAGGAAGAAGCAUUUCGGUAUGUAAACUUCUAUCAGCAGGGAAGAAAAUGACGGUACCGGACUAAGAAGCCCCGGCUAACUACGUGCCAGCAGCCGCGGGAAUACGUAGGGGGCAAGCGUUAUCCGGAUUUACUGGGUGUAAAGGGAGCGGAGGCGGUUUAGCAAGUCAGAAGUGAAAGCCCGGGGCUCAACUCCGGGACUGCUUUUGAAACUGUUGAACUAGAUGGCAGGAGAGGUAAGUGGAAUUCCUAGUGUAGCGGUGAAAUGCGUAGAUAUUAGGAGGAACACCAGUGGCGAAGGCGGCUUACUGGACUGUAAAUGACGCUGAGGCUCGAAAGCGUGGGGAGCAAACAGGAUUAGAUACCCUUGUAGUC